AUAGGAGACAACGGGCCAUCUUCUUGUUUUUAAAGACCUAGCAAUAGGUAUGCUUAGGGAGGAGCUUGCGUCACAUUAGUUAGUUGGUGGGGUAAAGGCCUACCAAGACUAUGAUGUGUAGCCGGGCUGAGAGGUUGAACGGCCACAUUGGGACUGAGACACGGCCCAAACUCCUACGGGAGGCAGCAGUAGGGAAUUUUCGGCAAUGGAGGAAACUCUGACCGAGCAACGCCGCGUGAACGAUGAAGUAUUUCGGUACGUAAAGUUCUUUUAUUAGGGAAGAAUAAAUGAUGGAAAAAUCAUUCUGACGGUACCUAAUGAAUAAGCCCCGGCUAACUAUGUGCCAGCAGCCGCGGUAAUACAUAGGGGGCAAGCGUUAUCCGGAAUUAUUGGGCGUAAAGGGUGCGUAGGCGGUUAAAUAAGUUUAUGGUCUAAGUGCAAUGCUCAACAUUGUGAUGCUAUAAAAACUGUUUAGCUAGAGUAAGAUAGAGGCAAGUGGAAUUCCAUGCAUGUGUAGUGGUAAAAUGCGUAAAUAUAUGGAGGAACACCAGUAGCGAAGGCGGCUUGCUGGGUCUUUACUGACGCUGAGGCACGAAAGCGUGGGGAGCAAACAGGAUUAGAUACCCUGGUAGUCCACGCCGUAAACGAUGAGUACUAAACGUUGGGUAAAACCAGUGUUGAAGUUAACACAUUAAGUACUCCGCCUGAGUAGUACGUACGCAAGUAUGAAACUUAAAGGAAUUGACGGGACUCCGCACAAGCGGUGGAUCAUGUUGUUUAAUUCGAAGGUACCCGAAAAACCUCACCAGGUCUUGACAUGCUUCUGCAAAGCUGUAGAAACACAGUGGAGGUUAUCAGUUGCACAGGUGGUGCAUGGUUGUCGUCAGCUCGUGUCGUGAGAUGUUGGGUUAAGUCCCGCAACGAGCGCAACCCUUAUUGUUAGUUACCAGCACGUAAUGGUGGGGACUUUAGCAAGACUGCCAGUGAUAAAUUGGAGGAAGGUGGGGACGACGUCAAAUCAUCAUGCCCCUUAUGACCUGGGCUACAAACGUGAUACAAUGGCUGUUACAAAGGGUAGCUGAAGCGCAAGUUUUUGGCGAAUCUCAAAAAAACAGUCUCAGUUCGGAUUGAAGUCUGCAACUCGACUUCAUGAAGUUGGAAUCGCUAGUAAUCGCGAAUCCAGCAUGUCGCGGUGAAUACGUUCU
Molecule: ribosomal RNA, 1205 nt
Filed under: uncultured bacterium
Lineage: Bacteria
Description: bacterial SSU rRNA
Rfam family: Bacterial small subunit ribosomal RNA
Source: RNAcentral